This is a non-coding RNA of Tinamus guttatus (white-throated tinamou), 318 nucleotides long. The record is from RefSeq and is a predicted model, not a curated record. Lineage: Eukaryota; Metazoa; Chordata; Aves; Tinamiformes; Tinamidae.
UUACAACUCUAGCACUAAGAAGCCAAUUCAAGCCUAAGUGCACAUUAAAUAGCUUUGGAUUCAAAUUAAAUAAAAAGCGGAAUUACAAGCAUGUAAGAUCUCCAUGUUUGCUGCUGUCUUACUCUCUUCUAGCUCCAGGUUGUGCUUCAGAGCUUCGCGCCGUCUUAUUUGGGUGGUUCUGCUGACUGCGUUUCCAGUGCUAAAUAUUUAACUUGAGGUUCUUCGGUCGCAACCGCUUCCAUGUUUUCUCCUUUCACAUACUCCGCGUUAAGUCCCUCUGCGAAGUAACAAUAAAGAGUGAGAUGGGAGGGCAGGAAG